GGCUCAGAAUGAACGCUGGCGGCGUGCCUAACACAUGCAAGUCGCACGAGAAAGGGGGCUUCGGUCCCCGAGUAAAGUGGCGCACGGGUGAGUAACGCGUGGGUGACCUACCCUGGAAUCUGGGAUAACACUGCGAAAGUGGUGCUAAUACCGGAUACGACCGCACCGCAAGGUGUGGUGAAAGUCGGCCUCUCGAAGAAGCUGAUGUUCCGGGAUGGGCUCGCGUCCUAUCAGCUAGUUGGUAGGGUAACGGCCUACCAAGGCGACGACGGGUAGCUGGUCUGAGAGGAUGAUCAGCCACACUGGCACUGAAACACGGGCCAGACUCCUACGGGAGGCAGCAGUGAGGAAUUUUGCGCAAUGGGGGCAACCCUGACGCAGCAACGCCGCGUGGGUGAAGAAGGUCUUCGGAUCGUAAAGCCCUGUCAGGUGGGAAGAAUGUCUUCAAGGUGAAUAAUCUUGGAGAGUGACGGUACCACCAGAGGAAGCACCGGCUAACUCCGUGCCAGCAGCCGCGGUAAUACGGAGGGUGCGAGCGUUGUUCGGAAUCAUUGGGCGUAAAGGGCGUGCAGGCGGCUGGGUAAGUCUGAUGUGAAAGCCCGGGGCUCAACCCCGGAAGUGCAUUGGAAACUGUCCAGCUUGAGUACCGGAGAGGAUGGGGGAAUUCCCGGUGUAGAGGUGAAAUUCGUAGAGAUCGGGAGGAAUACCAGUGGCGAAGGCGCCCAUCUGGACGGAUACUGACGCUGAGACGCGAAAGCGUGGGGAGCAAACAGGAUUAGAUACCCUGGUAGUCCACGCUGUAAACGAUGAGCACUAGGUGUAGCGGGUAUUGACCCCUGCUGUGCCGCAGCUAACGCAUUAAGUGCUCCGCCUGGGGAUUACGGUCGC
RNAcentral lists this ribosomal RNA (888 nucleotides) under uncultured bacterium. Its description in RNAcentral is "bacterial SSU rRNA". It matches the Rfam family "Bacterial small subunit ribosomal RNA", at positions 21 to 889 of the family's 1533-position model. The record is from RNAcentral.